UCUUUCUUCUCUCUCCCGCUCUCUCCUUCUUCUCUCUCCUGCUUCUCUCUCCCCCGUCUCCUUUCUCCUUCCGAAAAUGGUCUCUGAGUUUUGCUCUGCUUCUUAGAUACAAAAACAGGAGUAAUUAUUAUGCAGAAGUAAUUGUAAUGCAGAAUUAAUUAUUAUGCAGAACGAAAGGAAGAGCUUCUCUAUAUUAAUGAGCAUGCACCAUGAAUAUUCGAUCAUCUACAGCUCUUUCUUCUUCAAAAAAAUCCUUUGAUCAUUCAGAAAAGAUGGUUGAUUUUGCUCAAGGCCAAAACCUCGUGAAAGGGCUGCUGAAAGCCACGAAGAAGCUGAUCGCCGAGAAAUCAAAAGCACCACAGGGCACCAGUUUCUCUCUCCACGUGGCAAAGCAGUCUGCUUUGGCGGAAGGUGUGGAAGAGUCGCUUAUCAAAAGCGAUACAGA
RNAcentral lists this long non-coding RNA (445 nucleotides) under Eutrema salsugineum. RNAcentral's name for it is "long non-coding RNA (ESAL_LNC001545)". The record is from RNAcentral. Lineage: Eukaryota; Viridiplantae; Streptophyta; Magnoliopsida; Brassicales; Brassicaceae.